This 491-nucleotide long non-coding RNA is filed under the name Gallus gallus (chicken). Its description in RNAcentral is "lncRNA (ENSGALG00010000825.1)". Lineage: Eukaryota; Metazoa; Chordata; Aves; Galliformes; Phasianidae. The record is from RNAcentral.
AAAAGGAGGUGUUUUUUAUUUUAUUAUAUAUAUAUAUAUUCAUGUUAAUUUUUAAAACAAUUUUGCUGUCUGAGUGUCUCGCUCCAAUUUAUAGGAGGGAGAGGAGGUUCUUUGAAAUAUGUAUGCCCGGCGUGAGAUUAAGAAACAACGGUUCAAAUGUUGGUCCGACCAGUUUAUUACAAAUGUUAAUAAGGGAGACGAAGUAAGGGGAGGACGAACACUAUUACGGAUUGGGGUGACGGGGAAGGGAAGGCGAGCGAUAGAAAAGAUAGAAAGAGGCAAGAAUUGCGUAAAGCGGGGAUAGUCACCACCAGGAUCCAGCAGCAGUCCCGUUGCACGACGUUCCGACGGUCCGAGGCCGAAGGGCAGGAGCAGCGAGGCCGGUCUUGGGCAACAAGAGGGUGCAGGUACCGGGUGGGUCCAGGAAGAAGCCGCAGAGUAAGUCUGGGAGGAAGCAGCAGGUCUCAGGUAGCAGGCCCAGGGAAGUCCGU